UUGAACGCUGGCGGUAUGCUUAACACAUGCAAGUCGAACGGAAACGAUACUAGCUUGCUAGUAGGCGUCGAGUGGCGGACGGGUGAGUAACGCGUAGGAAUCUGCCUGAUAGUGGGGGAUAGCCCGAAGAAAUUCGGAUUAAUACCGCAUAAUCUAUUCGUAGUAAAGUGGGGGACUUUCGAGCCUCACGCUAUCAGAUGAGCCUGCGUAAGAUUAGCUUGUUGGUAGGGUAAAAGCCUACCAAGGCGACGAUCUUUAGCUGGUCUGAGAGGAUGAUCAGCCACAUCGGGACUGAGACACGGCCCGAACUCCUACGGGAGGCAGCAGUGGGGAAUAUUGGACAAUGGGGGCAACCCUGAUCCAGCAAUACCGCGUGUGUGAAGAGGGCCUGAGGGUUGUAAAGCACUUUCAAUUGUGAAGAAAAGUUAGCGGUUAAUAACCGUUAGCCUUGACGUUAACUUUAGAAGAAGCACCGGCUAACUCCGUGCCAGCAGCCGCGGUAAUACGGAGGGUGCAAGCGUUAAUCGGAAUUACUGGGCGUAAAGCGUGCGUAGGCGGUUUAUUAAGUCAGAUGUGAAAGCCCCGGGCUUAACCUGGGAACUGCAUUUGAAACUGGUCAACUAGAGUAUGGUAGAGGAAAGUGGAAUUUCUGGUGUAGCGGUGAAAUGCGUAGAUAUCAGAAGGAACAUCAAUGGCGAAGGCAGCUUUCUGGACCAAUACUGACGCUGAGGUACGAAAGCGUGGGUAGCAAGCAGGAUUAGAUACCCUGGUAGUCCACGCCGUAAACGAUGAUAACUAGCCGUUGGGGGGAUUUACCCUUUAGUGGCGAAGCUAACGCGUUAAGUUAUCCGCCUGGGGAGUACGGCCGCAAGGUUAAAACUCAAAGGAAUUGACGGGGACCCGCACAAGCGGUGGAGCAUGUGGUUUAAUUCGAUGCAACGCGAAGAACCUUACCUGGUCUUGACAUCCUGCGAACUUUCUAGAAAUAGAUUGGUGCCUUCGGGAACGCAGUGACAGGUGCUGCAUGGCUGUCGUCAGCUCGUGUCGUGAGAUGUUGGGUUAAGUCCCGUAACGAGCGCAACCCCUAUCCUUAUUUGCCAGCACGUCAUGGUGGGAACUAUAAGGAGACUGCCGGUGAUAAACCGGAGGAAGGCGGGGACGACGUCAAGUCAUCAUGGCCCUUACGACCAGGGCUACACACGUGCUACAAUGGGAAGGACAAAGAGCCGCGAAGCCGCGAGGUGUAGCUAAUCUCAUAAACCUUUUCGUAGUCCGGAUUGGAGUCUGCAACUCGACUCCAUGAAGUCGGAAUCGCUAGUAAUCGUAGAUCAGAAUGCUACGGUGAAUACGUUCCCGGGUCUUGUACACACCGCCCGUC
Molecule: ribosomal RNA, 1378 nt
Filed under: uncultured bacterium
Lineage: Bacteria
Description: bacterial SSU rRNA
Rfam family: Bacterial small subunit ribosomal RNA
Source: RNAcentral